CCUACGGGUGGCAGCAGUGAGGAAUAUUGGUCAAUGGGCGCGAGCCUGAACCAGCCAAGUAGCGUGAAGGAUGACUGCCCUACGGGUUGUAAACUUCUUUUAUAAAGGAAUAAAGUGAGGCACGUGUGCCUUUUUGUAUGUACUUUAUGAAUAAGGAUCGGCUAACUCCGUGGCAGCAGCCGCGGUAAAACGGAGGAUCCGAGCGUUAUCCGGAUUUAUUGGGUUUAAAGGGAGCGUAGGUGGGUUUUUAAGUCAGUUGUGAAAGUUUGGGGCUCAACCGUAAAAUUGCAAUUGAUACUGGCAGUCUUGAGUACAGUUGAGGUAGGCGGAAUUCGUGGUGUAGCGGUGAAAUGCGUAGAUAUCACGAAGAACUCCGAUUGCGAAGGCAGCUUACUAGACUGCCACUGACAUUGAUGCACGAAAGUGUGGGUAGCAAACAGGAUUAGAUACCCUAGUAGUC
This 460-nucleotide ribosomal RNA is filed under the name uncultured bacterium. Its description in RNAcentral is "partial 16S ribosomal RNA". It matches the Rfam family "Bacterial small subunit ribosomal RNA", at positions 338 to 795 of the family's 1533-position model. The record is from RNAcentral.